GGCCGGAGCUGGGCCCCGCCGGUCCCGUGCUGACAGCCCCUAAGGCCACGGCUGUCCCUUCCUUUCCCUUCCCGGGGCUUUUUGUUUCUUAAACCAGCCCCAUUUAUCACUUCCAACCUGCCUAUCGCCUGACACCAACUGUUGCAAGUUCUGUGGUAACUGCUUCCCUGAACUUCUAGAUCGAAACCGCUCCUCCCCGGAGCCUAUUUAAGAAGCAGAAUUAAGAAUAAAUGCCUGGAUGCCCGUGGAGGCACUGAGCCCUAGAGUUUUCAAAGGGUCCAAUCAAGAAUGUCACUGUGAAAUUAGUCAUUGUGUCUCCUCUAUUCUGUGACAGUUAUUCAGUCUUGCCUUGCUCCACAUGACCUUGAAACUUUUGAAGAGUACUGAUCAGGUAUUUUGUAUAAUAUCCCUUCGUUUGGGUUUGCCUGAUGUGUUCUCAUGAUUAGACUGGGGCUAUGGGACUUGGGGAGGAGGUCCACAGAGAUGAGGUGCUCUUCUCACAGCAUCAUGUCAGGUGCACAUGAUACCAAUAUGACUUAUCAUGGGGUGAUACUAACCUUGAUCACUUUAAGAUGAAAUUUGCCAAAUUUGUUUAGUCAUUUAUCUGUUGAUGGACAUCCAGGUUAUUUCCAGUUUGGGGCUUGUAUUAGUUUGCUAGGGCUGCCAUAACAAAAUACCACAAGACUGGGUGGUGUAAACAACAGAAAUUUAUUAUCUCAUAGUUGUGGAGGCUUCCCACAAAUAUUGGUAUGUUAUAUUUUCAUUUUGAUUAAGUUCAAAGUGCUUUCUAAUUUCUCUUUCAAUUUCUUCUUUGACCAUGGAUUAUUUAGAAGCAUGUUAUCUUGUUUCCAAAAAAUUACAAUUUCUCUGUAGAUCUUUCUGUUGUUGAUUUCCAACUUAAUUCUGUAGUAGCCAGAGACCAUAUUGUAUGAUUUAAAUCCUUUAAAUUUAUUGAGACUUGUUUUAUGGCCCAGAAUAUGGUUAGUCUUGGUAAAUGUUCAAUGUGCCCCUGAGAAGAGUGUAUAUUCUGAUGUUGGGAGGGAUGGAGUCAAAUAGUUUCAUAGUGUUGCUGAAUCUGCUAUAUUUUUGCUUCUUUUCUGUCUACUUAAUUAUUGAAUCUACUUAAUUAUUGAAUUAAGAAGGAGAUACGCUGAAAAAGUAUUGAAGUCUUUAAUUAUAAUUAUGGAUUUGUCCAUGUGUCUUAUGGUUUUGAUCUCCACAUAACCAGAAACUGUGGCCAGAUAUUGUGCAUAAAGAACCAUGAUCGGAGUACCUUCAAGAUGGCGGAGGAGAAAGACGUGGAGGUCACCUUCCUCCCCACAAAUACAUCAAAAAUACAUCUACAGGGCUUCCCUGGUGGUGCAGUGGUUGGGAGUCCGCCUGCCGAUGCAGGGGACACUGGUUCGUGCCCUGGUCCGGGAAGAUCCCACAUGCUGUGGAGUGGCUGGGCCCAUGAGCUGUGGCCGCUGAGCCUGCGCGUCCAGAGCCUGUGCUCCGCAACAGGAUAGGCCACAACAGGGAGAGGCCCGCGUACGGCAAAAAAAAAAAAAAAAAAAGAAAAAAAGGAAAAAAUACAUCUACAGGACUUCCCUGGUGGCGCAGUGGUUAAGAAUCCUCCUGCCAAUUCAGGGGACAUGGGUUUGAGCCCUGGUCUGGGAAGAUCCCACAUGCCAUGGAGCAACUAAGCCCGUGCACCAAAACUACUGAGCCUGCACUCUAGAGCCCGCGAGCCACAACUACUGAUGCCCGAGUGCUUAGAGCCCAUGUUCCACAGCAAGAGAACCACUGCAGUGAGAAGUCUGCCCGCCGCCACAAAGAGUAGCCCCCGCUCGCCGCAACUAGAGAAAGCCCACACACAGCAACGAAGAUCCAACACAGCCAAAAAUAAAUUAAUUAAAUAAAUUGAAAAAAAAUACAUCUACAUGUGGAACAACUCCUACAGAAGACCUACUGAACACUGGCAGAAGACGUCAGACUUCCCAAAAGGCAAGAAAAUCCCCACGUACCAGGCCGUGUGGCUGACAGGCCUGAAUCCCGGAGGUGGGAGAGCUGAGUUCAGGACAUUGGACAAUCAGAGACCUCCCAGCCCCACGUAAUAUCAAUCGGCGAGAGCUCUCCCAGAGAUCUCCAUCUCAAAUCUAAGACCCAGCUCCACCCAACAGCCAGCAAGCUGCAGUGCUGGACUCUCCAUGCCAAUCAACUAGCAAGACAGGAACACAACCCCACCCAUUAAGCAGAGAGGCUGCCUAAGAUCAUACUAAGUUCACAGGCACACCAAAACACACAACCAGAUGCAGCCCUGCCCACCAGAAAGACAAGAUCCAGCCCCACCCACCGGAACACAGGCACCAGUCCUCUCCACCAGGAAGCCUACACAAGCCACUGAACCAACCUCACCCACUGGGGGCAGACACCAAAAACAACGGGAACUAUGAAGCUGCAGCCUGUGAAAAGGAGACCCCAAACACAGUAAGUUAAAGAAAAUGAGAAUACAGAGUAAUAUGUAGCAGAUGAAAGAGCAAGGUAAAAACCCACCAGACCAAACAAAUGAAGAGGAAAUAGGCAGUCUACAAAAGAAUUCAGAGUAAUGAUAGUAAACAUGAUCGAAAAUCUUGGAAAUAGAAUGGAGAAAAUACAAGAAAUGUUUAACAAGGACCUAGAAGAACCAAAGAGCAAACAAACAACGAUGAACUACACAAUAAAUGAAAUUUAAAAUUCUCUAGAAGGAAUCAAUAGCAGAAUAACUGAGGUAGAACAAUGGAUAAGUGACCUGGAAGAUAAAGUCGUGGAAAUAACUGCCACAGAGCAGAAUAAAGAAAAAAGAAUGAAAAGAAUUGAGGACAGUCUCAGAGACCUCUGGGACAACAUUAAAUGCACCAACAUUCAAAUUAUGGGGUCCCAGAGGAAGAGAAAAAGAAAGGGUCUGAGAAAAUAUUUGAACAGAUUAUAGUUGAAAACUUCCUUAAGGAAAUAGUCAAUCAAGUCCAGGAAGCACAGAGAUUCCCUUACAGGAUAAAUCCAAGGAGAAACAUGCCAAGACACAUAUUAAUCAAACUAUCAAAAAUUAAAUACAAAGAAAAAAUAUUAAAAGGAGCAGGGGAAAAGCAACAAAUAACAUACAAGGGAAUCCCCAUAAGGUUAACAGCUGAUCUUUCAGCAGAAACUCUGCAAGCCCAAAGGGAGUGGCAGAACAUAUUUAAAGUGAUGAAAGGGAAAAACCUACAACCAAGAUUACUCUACCCAGCAAGGAUCUCAUUCAGAUUCAAUGGAGAAAUGAAAACCUUUACAGACAAGCAAAAGCUAAGAGAAUUCAGCACCACCAAGCCAGCUUUACAACAAAUGAUAAAGGAACGUCUCUAGGUGGAAACACAAGAGAAAAAAAGACCUACAAAAACAAACCCAAAACAAUUAAGAAAA
Molecule: long non-coding RNA, 3417 nt
Organism: Orcinus orca (killer whale)
Lineage: Eukaryota; Metazoa; Chordata; Mammalia; Artiodactyla; Delphinidae
Exons: 2
Source: RefSeq, a predicted model, not a curated record